AGAGUUUGAUCCUGGCUCAGAUUGAACGCUGGCGGCAGGCCUAACACAUGCAAGUCGAGCGGUAGAGAGAAGCUUGCUUCUCUUGAGAGCGGCGGACGGGUGAGUAAUGCCUAGGAAUCUGCCUGGUAGUGGGGGAUAACGUUCGGAAACGGACGCUAAUACCGCAUACGUCCUACGGGAGAAAGCAGGGGACCUUCGGGCCUUGCGCUAUCAGAUGAGCCUAGGUCGGAUUAGCUAGUUGGUGAGGUAAUGGCUCACCAAGGCGACGAUCCGUAACUGGUCUGAGAGGAUGAUCAGUCACACUGGAACUGAGACACGGUCCAGACUCCUACGGGAGGCAGCAGUGGGGAAUAUUGGACAAUGGGCGAAAGCCUGAUCCAGCCAUGCCGCGUGUGUGAAGAAGGUCUUCGGAUUGUAAAGCACUUUAAGUUGGGAGGAAGGGCAGUUACCUAAUACGUGAUUGUUUUGACGUUACCGACAGAAUAAGCACCGGCUAACUCUGUGCCAGCAGCCGCGGUAAU
This 521-nucleotide ribosomal RNA is filed under the name uncultured Gammaproteobacteria bacterium. Its description in RNAcentral is "bacterial SSU rRNA". It matches the Rfam family "Bacterial small subunit ribosomal RNA", at positions 8 to 524 of the family's 1533-position model. Lineage: Bacteria; Pseudomonadati; Pseudomonadota; Gammaproteobacteria. RNAcentral also lists the same sequence under 1 other name. The record is from RNAcentral.